Molecule: long non-coding RNA, 991 nt
Filed under: Rattus norvegicus (Norway rat)
Lineage: Eukaryota; Metazoa; Chordata; Mammalia; Rodentia; Muridae
Description: long non-coding RNA NONRATT001268
Source: RNAcentral
GUCCUUGGAAUCUGACUGCUGUUGCCAUGGUGCCCACAACUACCCCCUGGAAGCCAAAGGCAGGCUCCCCCAGCAAAGCAUCUCAUCCCAUAGGAGAAAGGGGUGAGCCCCGGGUGUCAUGAGAGCCUUCAAGAUUCGGGCUCAGAAGGCGCCGAGCCUCCAGCUCUCCCUUAGCUCAGUGGCCAGCGCAACCAGCAUUUCUCUGCUUCACUCUCGUCCUCUGUGAACGGCCCCUGUGGGCAGCAGGACUUCAGAACUGUGCUCAUCGCUGUCAUCGCUGUCAUCUGCACUAUCAUUCAUGAAAAUGUUGAAUUCACGCAAGAUUCGGAUGGAGCGCCGGAUUGUUGGUGCGACCAACCGAUGGCGUUUUCCCCAAGACCAUUUCUGCGGAGACCUCCUGGCACUUUCCCAGAUGUGCAAUGUUUUGAACGUAGACCUUGAUGAUGCUCUGAAGAACCCAGACAAGUAGGGAGGGUCAAAUGCCCAUGAUGGGGGAUGGCAGCCCAGAAUGGGAAGAGGAGGUGUUCGAUGACCAGACCACAAUGACCAGAUGGUUCAGGACUGCUCCAGGCAUGUCUGAAAGGAAACUUCUCUCAAGGACCAUACAUAGGAACAGACAGGGUCUGAGACUACUUGUUCUGACCAGGUCUGUCAGUGCUGACCAAUGCUUUAUAGAUGAGCUCAGGACCCUCACAGGAUUCUAAGUUUGUCGUCCAGGGACCAAAUGAUCUCUUGAAAACACUCCAUGGCUAAGUGGAUGUUUCUCAUGAAUUCCCAAUCUCACCCAGCCUACCAUUCCCCUCCCUCUGUUAGAAACUAGUCUCAGUCUCAGGCUAGACCAUCACUUCUCCAAAUCGUGAGUUCUGCCUGUCCAGGGGACCCAGCAAUGGACCUUAUUUGCAGAAGGGUCCCUUCAUUUCCUGGUGCCUUUGCCCUGGCUUGAUGCCACUAAUCUCUGAACCGGCAGUGCCUGUCUCAUGAGUUCAUGGAU